CCCUUAUAGAAAAAGGAAAAAGCUCAUAAAGUUUUAUCAGAUAUGCCUUAUAUGCGAAGACAAUCGCAUGUUUGCUCAAAAUCUCUAAUGUGAAUGUAAGGGUUUUCGUCUUCCUUUCCCAAAAAAGAUAGGCUCUCAAUCAUGGCAAUUAACCACGGACUUAGCCUAUACUGGGUUGUUUGGAUAGGCUGUGAUGACUCCCAUGGUAAAAGGUCAGAGUCCGAAGGUGUUGCAUAUUGGUAGAUCGAUUUAGAAUCUUGGUUUUUCAUAUGGUAAGAAUAAAUAAAAUAAAGAAAAUAAAAAGAUAAGAAAAGAUAAAAGUAUAGAUACAAGCUAGUAGCAAGACUCAAGGUUAUCUCAGCAAACCGUCUUUCUCCCUGGCAACGGCGCCAGAAAUGCUUGUUGAUAUUUGGUAAUGCAAUGAGGAAUUGAUCCGCAAGCGCAC
Molecule: long non-coding RNA, 445 nt
Filed under: Sorghum bicolor (sorghum)
Lineage: Eukaryota; Viridiplantae; Streptophyta; Magnoliopsida; Poales; Poaceae
Description: long non-coding RNA (SBIC_LNC001018)
Source: RNAcentral